Molecule: ribosomal RNA, 489 nt
Filed under: uncultured bacterium
Lineage: Bacteria
Description: partial 16S ribosomal RNA
Rfam family: Bacterial small subunit ribosomal RNA
Source: RNAcentral
GAUGAACGCUAGCGAUAGGCUUAACACAUGCAAGUCGAGGGGCAGCAUGGUCUUAGCUUGCUAAGACUGAUGGCGACCGGCGCACGGGUGCGUAACGCGUAUGCAACUUGCCUCACAGAGGGGGAUAACCCGUCGAAAGACGGACUAAUACCGCGUACACUUGGGAUAGGGCAUCCUGACCCAAGGAAAUGAAAUUCGCUGUGAGAUAGGCAUGCGUCCCAUUAGCUAGUUGGUGAGGUAACGGCUCACCAAGGCGACGAUGGGUAGGGGAACUGAGAGGUUGAACCCCACACUGGUACUGAGACACGGACCAGACUCCUACGGGAGGCAGCAGUGAGGAAUAUUGGUCAAUGGGCGAGAGCCUGAACCAGCCAAGUCGCGUGAAGGAUGACUGUCUUAUGGAUUGUAAACUUCUUUUAUACGGGAAUAACAAGAGCCACGUGUGGCUCCCUGCAUGUACCGUAUGAAUAAGCAUCGGCUAACUCCGUG